AAAUAGAUACCCGGGUAGUCCAUGCCGUAAACGUUGGGCGCUAGAUGUGGGGACCAUUCCACGGUUUCCGUGUCGCAGCUAACGCAUUAAGCGCCCCGCCUGGGGAGUACGGCCGCAAGGCUAAAACUCAAAGGAAUUGACGGGGGCCCGCACAAGCGGCGGAGCAUGCGGAUUAAUUCGAUGCAACGCGAAGAACCUUACCAAGGCUUGACAUAUACGAGAACGCUCUAGAAAUGGAGAACUCUUUGGACACUCGUAUACAGGUGGUGCAUGGUUGUCGUCAGCUCGUGUCGUGAGAUGUUGGGUUAAGUCCCGCAACGAGCGCAACCCUCGUUCUAUGUUGCCAGCGGUUCGGCCGGGAACUCAUAGGAGACUGCCGGGGUCAACUCGGAGGAAGGUGGGGAUGACGUCAAAUCAUCAUGCCCCUUAUGUCUUGGGCUUCACGCAUGCUACAAUGGCCGGGUACAAAGGGCUGCAAUACCGUAAGGUGGAGCGAAUCCCAAAAAGCCGGUCUCAGUUCGGAUUGAGGU
Molecule: ribosomal RNA, 530 nt
Filed under: uncultured bacterium
Lineage: Bacteria
Description: bacterial SSU rRNA
Rfam family: Bacterial small subunit ribosomal RNA
Source: RNAcentral